AGGAUGUUCAAGUUUAAUUUUUUUCUAAUAGCAUAAUUCCUACUCUGGUCAAUUGGAGAACAGUUCUAACAUCACACCAGGUCUAGAUCUUCAUAGGGUGUAUAUGUGAACUUUUUCCCCUCCCCUUUGUAAGGGUGUGUUUGGCCCACUGGUUUUGGAAUAGGGAAGUAUCGGUCUAAAACUUUUUUAAGAUA
Molecule: long non-coding RNA, 194 nt
Organism: Cucumis melo (muskmelon)
Lineage: Eukaryota; Viridiplantae; Streptophyta; Magnoliopsida; Cucurbitales; Cucurbitaceae
Exons: 2
Source: RefSeq, a predicted model, not a curated record